RNAcentral lists this non-coding RNA (91 nucleotides) under Arsenophonus endosymbiont of Aleurodicus floccissimus. The record is from RNAcentral. Lineage: Bacteria; Pseudomonadati; Pseudomonadota; Gammaproteobacteria; Enterobacterales; Morganellaceae.
AAAUAUGGUGGGCUGGAUGGGGGAGCCGAAAGGCUCGCCGGAGACCUCUUUUGACGCCGGUACUGUGAACCCUGUUCAGUUCACCACCAGU